Molecule: long non-coding RNA, 244 nt
Organism: Diachasma alloeum
Lineage: Eukaryota; Metazoa; Arthropoda; Insecta; Hymenoptera; Braconidae
Exons: 4
Source: RefSeq, a predicted model, not a curated record
GUCUUCCUCGAGGCUGUUGGUUGACUGUUGUUUCGCUGUACUAUCGACAAGUGAGAGAUCAAGCAGAACUGCAAACGUGACCGCCAUUUAUUUCUUCACCAUUGAAUGUGGGAGCGGGAUUUGUCAUUGCCAUUGAAAGGAGUAAGAAGACAUUGCGCAUCUUUCAGAUAAUCAUCUUGGGGACGAAGUCCGAUGCUGGAGGGAUGCUUUAAUGUACUCCCGGACCGAAAACCCGUCUCCAACC